RNAcentral lists this transfer RNA (68 nucleotides) under Marmota monax (woodchuck). RNAcentral's name for it is "tRNA.Ala". The stretch from base 4 to 63 matches the Rfam family "tRNA", at positions 6 to 65 of the family's 71-position model. Rfam says of the family: Transfer RNA (tRNA) molecules are approximately 80 nucleotides in length. Lineage: Eukaryota; Metazoa; Chordata; Mammalia; Rodentia; Sciuridae. The record is from RNAcentral.
GUUUGUGGCUCAGUGUAGAGCGCUUGCUUAGCAUGCAUGAGGCACUGGGUUCAAUCUCUAGCAUCACA